Schistosoma margrebowiei is the source of this 45-nucleotide non-coding RNA. The record is from Rfam. NCBI's taxonomy places the organism in Eukaryota, Metazoa, Platyhelminthes, Trematoda, Strigeidida, Schistosomatidae.
AUCCAGCUGAUGAGUCCCAAAUAGGAUGAGACGCGUGCCCUGGAU